GUGACGUCAUCGCCGCGUGCGGCAGCAAUGGCGGCGGUGGCGGCUGGAGUGGCCCCGGUUCGGGAGCGGUUUGUCACCUCCAAGGAGCAGUUCCAUGCCUACCUGAGGGCCAACGGGGAGCUCGGAGACCAGGGAGGUGAUAAGGAGGAGGAGAAGGAGGACAGUAAUGAGCAGAGCGAGCCCCCUGCCAAGAGAGGGAGGUUGGAGCAGGACCAGGAUGGAGAAAGCCCAGGGAAGCCCGAGGAUGGGGAGAAGGAGCCCGAGGAUGGGGAGAAGGAGCCUGAGAAUGGGGAGAAGGAGCCUGAGAAUGGGGAGAAGGAGCCUGAGAAUGGAGAGAAGGAGCCUGUGGGGCGCAAACGAGCCCGAGGACAGAACAAGAGCAGACCCUGCAUGAAGCCCAACCAUUAUGAGAAGAGCCGGUUGUGUCCAUCAGUCACACAGGGCUGUGCGGAGAAGUGCUACUUUGGCCCACGGUGCCGCUUCCUUCAUGACGUCGGGGAGUACAUGGCAGCAAAACCAUCCGACCUGGGGCAGAGCUGUGUGCUCUUUGAAACCUUUGGCAAGUGUCCUUAUGGCGUCACGUGCCGCUUUGCCAAGGCCCACCUUGGGGAUGGCUACCAGAACUUGGUCAACACGGAGCUGGUCAAGCAGUGGGAAGGGAAAUCGCUGGUGAGGAACAACCUCUCCAAAGACCUCCAGCACCAGCUACGCAAGAAGAAAUUUAUCUUUAAGAAAGCUGAUGAGUACCUCCGCAGCCUGGCCAAGCCCCACCACAAUGAUAGGAGGGGAGGCAAAGCUCCGGGGCACUCUGCAGAGGGUGAGGAUAUGUCCAACUGCACAAUGCCUGAGGAUGGCCUGGGAGACACCUCAGAAUGUCCUGUGCUACCAGAGGGAGGAGAUCCCAAAUCAGCUCCUGUGCAGAGUCCUCACCCCACAGAAAGUGAGGGGGGAUGCCCCACCAAAACAGCAGGCCCAGUGACAGAUGAAGACAUUGUAAAGCUGAGGUCAUGUGAGAAGAAGAAGUUGGAAAUCCAAGGCAAGCUCUACUUGGCCCCACUGACCACAUGUGGCAACCUCCCUUUCAGAAGGAUAUGCAAACGCUUUGGGGCAGAUGUCACCUGUGGAGAGAUGGCUGUGUGCACUAACCUGCUUCAAGGCCAGUCCUCUGAGUGGGCUCUCCUCAAACGGCAUCACACCGAGGACAUUUUUGGGGUGCAGCUGGAGGGAGCGUUUCCAGACACAAUGACCAAAUGUGCAGAGCUCCUGAACCAAACAAUUGACGUGGACUUUGUAGACAUCAAUGUUGGCUGUCCUAUCGACCUGGUCUACAAGAAGGGCGGAGGCUGCGCUCUGAUGACUCGGUCUAACAAGUUUGAACAGAUUGUCCGAGGGAUGAACUCAGUGCUGGACGUCCCACUGACUGUGAAGAUACGGACAGGGGUGCAAGAAAAGAUGAAUGUGGCCCAUAAAAUAAUCCCCAAGAUCCGGGAGUGGGGAGCAUCCAUGGUCACGCUGCACGGCCGGUCCAGAGAACAGCGAUACACAAGAGUUGCUGACUGGGACUACAUAGCAGAAUGUGCUAAAAUAGCAAACCCCAUGCCUCUUUUUGGAAACGGUGAUAUUUUGUCUUAUGAAGAUGCUAAUCAAGCCAUGCAGACCGGAGUUUCAGGCAUUAUGAUUGCAAGGGGGGCACUCAUCAAACCGUGGCUUUUCACUGAAAUCAAGGAGCAGAGACACUGGGAUAUCUCCUCCAGUGAGAGAUUCGAUAUCCUCAGAGACUUCACCAACUACGGCCUGGAACACUGGGGGUCGGAUACUCAGGGAGUGGAGAAAACCAGGAAGUUUCUGCUGGAAUGGCUCUCAUUCCUGUGCAGCGUUUGUGUUUCGCUGCAGGUACAUUCCAGUUGGGUUAUUGGAGCACCUACCUCAGAAGAUCAAUGAGCGGCCGCCUUACUACAUAGGGAGGGACUAUCUGGAGACACUGAUGGCCAGCCAAAAUGUGGAUGAUUGGGUUAAAAUCAGUGAGCUGCUCCUGGGACCUGUACCCACCAACUUCACCUUCCUGCCUAAGCACAAGGCAAAUUCCUACAGAUAGGAGCAUGGAGCGCAGGGGAGGCAGCAGGACGGCACACGUUGCUCAGCUGCACACAGAAAUGAAAUAAACCUUUAUGUUUUUAGAA
Coturnix japonica (Japanese quail) is the source of this 2180-nucleotide RNA transcript. It is a transcript of the gene named dihydrouridine synthase 3 like, with no coding region annotated. The record is from RefSeq and is a predicted model, not a curated record. NCBI's taxonomy places the organism in Eukaryota, Metazoa, Chordata, Aves, Galliformes, Phasianidae.